This 463-nucleotide ribosomal RNA is filed under the name Vreelandella stevensii. Its description in RNAcentral is "partial 16S ribosomal RNA". It matches the Rfam family "Bacterial small subunit ribosomal RNA", at positions 338 to 795 of the family's 1533-position model. Lineage: Bacteria; Pseudomonadati; Pseudomonadota; Gammaproteobacteria; Oceanospirillales; Halomonadaceae. The record is from RNAcentral.
CCUACGGGUGGCAGCAGUGGGGAAUAUUGGACAAUGGGCGAAAGCCUGAUCCAGCCAUGCCGCGUGUGUGAAGAAGGCCUUCGGGUUGUAAAGCACUUUCAGUGGGGAAGAAAGCCUUGGGGCUAAUACCCUCGAGGAAGGACAUCACCCACAGAAGAAGCACCGGCUAACUCCGUGCCAGCAGCCGCGGUAAUACGGAGGGUGCGAGCGUUAAUCGGAAUUACUGGGCGUAAAGCGCGCGUAGGCGGUCUGAUAAGCCGGUUGUGAAAGCCCCGGGCUCAACCUGGGAACGGCAUCCGGAACUGUCAGGCUAGAGUGCAGGAGAGGAAGGUAGAAUUCCCGGUGUAGCGGUGAAAUGCGUAGAUCGGGAGGAAUACCAGUGGCGAAGGCGGCCUUCUGGACUGACACUGACGCUGAGGUGCGAAAGCGUGGGUAGCAAACAGGAUUAGAUACCCUGGUAGUC